CCUUUUUCUUUAAUUUUUGUGGGUAUAACAGAUUCGAGCAAUGCAGAAAGGAAGUAAAACAUUAUUUCACUCUUUCAGAAUGUGUUUGGUUACGGUAAAAACAAGUGGGGUUUCCACCUAUUUCCGAUUAUGAAAAAGUUUCUCAUUUCAUUGCUGAUGUUUAAGAAUGGUCAUUGGUAUUUUAGUAGAAGGAACACUUGAGAGUUUUCUGUGGCUACUAUAAUAUACUAAAUAACCUCUUUCCUCCUUCUCACCCCGCAAGUCGCCCAAAAUGUGUGGAUGAAGUUGCUUUCCAGGAAGAAGUGGUUGCAGUGCUGAAAAAAUCUUUAGAAGGAGCAGAUCUUCCUAAUCUCUUGUUUUACGGACCACCUGGAACUGGAAAAACAUCCACUAUUUUGGCAGCAGCUAGAGAACUCUUUGGGCCUGAACUUUUCCGAUUAAGAGUUCUUGAGUUAAAUGCAUCUGAUGAACGUGGAAUACAAGUAGUUCGAGAGAAAGUGAAAAAUUUUGCUCAAUUAACUGUGUCAGGAAGU
This 533-nucleotide long non-coding RNA is filed under the name Homo sapiens (human). RNAcentral describes it as "non-protein coding lnc-TBCCD1-5:1". The record is from RNAcentral. Lineage: Eukaryota; Metazoa; Chordata; Mammalia; Primates; Hominidae.